This 496-nucleotide ribosomal RNA is filed under the name uncultured bacterium. Its description in RNAcentral is "partial 16S ribosomal RNA". It matches the Rfam family "Bacterial small subunit ribosomal RNA", at positions 29 to 507 of the family's 1533-position model. The record is from RNAcentral.
AUGAACGCUGGCGGCGUGCCUAAUACAUGCAAGUCGAGCGAACGGACGAGAAGCUUGCUUCUCUGAUGUUAGCGGCGGACGGGUGAGUAACACGUGGAUAACCUACCUAUAAGACUGGGAUAACUUCGGGAAACCGGAGCUAAUACCGGAUGAUAUUUUGAACCGCAUGGUUCAGAAGUGAAAGACGGUCUUGCUGUCACUUAUAGAUGGAUCCGCGCUGCAUUAGCUAGUUGGUAAGGUAACGGCUUACCAAGGCAACGAUGCAUAGCCGACCUGAGAGGGUGAUCGGCCACACUGGAACUGAGACACGGUCCAGACUCCUACGGGAGGCAGCAGUAGGGAAUCUUCCGCAAUGGGCGAAAGCCUGACGGAGCAACGCCGCGUGAGUGAUGAAGGUCUUCGGAUCGUAAAACUCUGUUAUUAGGGAAGAACAUAUGUGUAAGUAACUGUGCACAUCUUGACGGUACCUAAUCAGAAAGCCACGGCUAACUACGUG